This 424-nucleotide ribosomal RNA is filed under the name uncultured Bacteroides sp. RNAcentral describes it as "bacterial SSU rRNA". It matches the Rfam family "Bacterial small subunit ribosomal RNA", at positions 338 to 779 of the family's 1533-position model. The record is from RNAcentral. Lineage: Bacteria; Pseudomonadati; Bacteroidota; Bacteroidia; Bacteroidales; Bacteroidaceae.
CCUACGGGAGGCAGCAGUGAGGAAUAUUGGGCAAUGGAGGCAACUCUGACCCAGCCAUGCCGCGUGAGUGAAGAAGGUUUUCGGAUUGUAAAGCUCUUUCGGGUGUGACGAUGAUGACGGUAGCACCUAAAGAAGCCCCGGCUAACUUCGUGCCAGCAGCCGCGGUAAUACGAAGGGGGCAAGCGUUGUUCGGAAUUACUGGGCGUAAAGGGAGUGUAGGCGGUUAUGUAAGAUAGUGGUGAAAUCCCAGAGCUUAACUUUGGAAUUGCCAUUAUGACUAUGUGGCUAGAAUUACAGAGAGGAUAGUGGAAUACCCAGUGUAGAGGUGAAAUUCGUAGAUAUUGGGUAGAACACCAGUGGCGAAGGCGACUAUCUGGCUGUAUAUUGACGCUGAGGCUCGAAAGCAUGGGGAUCAAACAGGAUU